AUGAAAUAUAUAAUUAGGAGUCAUGUUUUGAAAUCUGUUUUGCAGCUGUAAGUCCCGUUGAAAUGAAGGUAAACACAGAGAUGGCGAUCACUCCAAGAAAUCCUUAGGUACAAGUCGCAGUCCUCAGAGGAAGAAGAAGUCUUCGUGAAAGUAAUUUGGCAACUACAGCGGGUAAAAAGCCAAGUGGAACACAGCCAAGUGGUGUAAGGAUCCUUCUGAGCCUCAUCACACAGGCAUAAAGGGGCACUUCUGAGCAGUGCUGUUCCAAGGCCUACAUCUGCCCAGUGACACAAAGGUGACUCAAGCCAGCCUUCUCCCUCAACCUGCAGCUGGACUUCUCUAUUUCCAACACCAAUUAUCUCAGACACCCCGACUGUAUUGGGCAAGACACUCAGAUCCUGUCUUGGGGUAAACCAGCAGCAACAACAGCAACAUGAUGGUGAUGGAUUGUCUUUGCCCUUGGGUUACAUCGUGGACAUUGAUGUUAUCCCAGCUUGACAGGCCUGCCAGUUCUACCACUCGCUGUUGGCAAUGCUCUGUGACCUGAACAAGUAUGACCUCUGCUAGUAUGAGUAGCACACUAUGGAGCUCAACAGACAGCUUCGGGCAAGACCCACACAGCAGGACCCAGAGGAUGUAGAGCAUCUGCCACCGUGACAUUCUCAGUCUUGGCUCUCGUUCCUACCAUGACCAUCACCUGCACAGCUCUCCUUGUCACACCCCAGCCUUGUCCCUCCUGCUUUCCUCCACACCUAAGUUACUGGAGUCUGGUGUAUGUUGUGAGGUGCUUGCUGGGUGUUGGUGAGAUGCUGAGUAGUGGCCAAGUCUCAGGAGAAGAAUGAUGUUGAAGCUGCAAGGAAAUCAAAGCCUGAGAAUGACAUUUUAUUCAUUGGCUGUUUUCUAGUAAAUUUUUAUAUUAAAUUUA
Molecule: long non-coding RNA, 925 nt
Organism: Scylla paramamosain (green mud crab)
Lineage: Eukaryota; Metazoa; Arthropoda; Malacostraca; Decapoda; Portunidae
Exons: 6
Source: RefSeq, a predicted model, not a curated record